This 1252-nucleotide unclassified non-coding RNA is filed under the name Helicoverpa zea (corn earworm). RNAcentral's name for it is "uncharacterized LOC124645480, transcript variant X1". Lineage: Eukaryota; Metazoa; Arthropoda; Insecta; Lepidoptera; Noctuidae. The record is from RNAcentral.
CGCCAUAGAGAAACAAAUUAAUGUUCAAAUUAGGAAGGAAAUAAAUGACAAAUGACUUCUUCCAUUACUUUCCUACCGUGAAGUAUGAUUUAUAUUAUGUAGCAUUUUCCAGUGUCGAUAGUCACUGUUGUUCAUGUAUUUUUUAAAAUAGUGUAUAAACCUUAACAGUUAUAAGUUGAAGAAGUAUUAAAAUGGCAAAUGCAGAUUUUAGAAAGGAUGUGACUAUGCCUGUCCGACCGAGAAGUGUCUAUACAGCGCACUCCUACAAUCAGGAAGAGUCGAACUUGUCCGCCUUCCAAGACUACAGCAAGUUCCUCGAAGGUGGCCUGGGGCAAGCCGAGCUCGUGGGCGCGGCGGGAUGGCAACCUCCAUGGCGCGCUCCUCUGCAGCGCAAGGCUCCCUUCUACCCAGGAGAUGACAUCUACCAUGCUGAUACAUGGCGAGAGCUUGAGAUGACUGAUGUUGUGGGUGGUGCUGGAUACAACGCCUCGGUGACUCCUCAUGGCACCGUCUGCCUCCGCCUGAGAGACAGAGUCAAAGUGGACAUGACGAUCGACGGAGCGGUUCGUGUGACCAACGCUAAGAACAACAUAAUCCUGGCGCUGUCGCGUUCGGGUGCGGCUGCAGCGCUGAUCCACCCUAACGGCCGGGUCUACCACUACGGGUCGAGGGUCGAGAUACAGGCUCGCCAUCAGCAGGGCAAUAACAAGUACGCGAAGAUGUGGUACAAGGGCGUGUCGUUCACGGCGGAGCAGUGCGCGCUGGUCUACUUGGUAGAUGCGGCCGGCACGCGCACUACCACAGAUACUUUCCUCGACAUGAGCCAGGACUUCACUCUCAAUGUCUUUUACAAUGAGUCCCGCCACGGACCUUCGUACGUGAAUGAGGCGCUGUCUCUACUGCAGGCGGCGCAGUACUGGCUCACCGACGAUGGUAUCGACAACUGGAUUAUCAACAACGUGCGCGUCAGUCAGACCGCCGAUGGACUUGUCAGUUCAAUAGGCGCAAAUUCGGAACAUCACGGCGUGCAGCGGAGAGUGCAAUGUGGAGCGUUUCAGCGCAGCUUGUAGUUGUAGCGUGCAGCGUGUGCGCAGCUAGUUUUCAUAGGAAAAUGCAUAAGUAGUUCAGCGUGCAAGUUCAAAGCGACGCCCCGCUUGUUGCGAAUUUGCGGCACAAGAUCUGGGAUCCACCGUUGCAGCCACAAGUACCAGUUACGCACGAGUCCUACCAACGGGUCGGCGUCCAUCACGAG